GGCGGGGUAGCUCAGUGGCAGAGCAGCCGGCUCAUACCCGGUAUGCCGGGGGUUCAAGUCCCCCCCUCGCUACCA
RNAcentral lists this transfer RNA (75 nucleotides) under Candidatus Omnitrophota bacterium. RNAcentral's name for it is "tRNA-Met". It matches the Rfam family "tRNA". Rfam says of the family: Transfer RNA (tRNA) molecules are approximately 80 nucleotides in length. Lineage: Bacteria; Pseudomonadati; Candidatus Omnitrophota. The record is from RNAcentral.